Molecule: long non-coding RNA, 771 nt
Filed under: Salmo salar (Atlantic salmon)
Lineage: Eukaryota; Metazoa; Chordata; Actinopteri; Salmoniformes; Salmonidae
Description: lncRNA (ENSSSAG00000087126.1)
Source: RNAcentral
CAAUGGAUAUGGAUGGGGCUAGACAAGAGAACAGGUUGUCAUCAGGGACAAUGGAUAUGGAUGGGGCUAGACAAGAGAACAGGUUGUCAUCAGGGACAAUGGAUAUGGAUGGGGCUAGACAAGAGAACAGGUUGUCAUCAGGGACAAUGGAUAUGGAUGGGGCUAGACAAGAGAACAGGUUGUCAUCAGGGACAAUGGAUAUGGAUGGGGCUAGACAAGAGAACAGGUUGUCAUCAGGGACAAUGGAUAUGGAUGGGGCUAGACAAGAGAACAGGUUGUCAUCAGGGACAAUGGAUAUGGAUGGGGCUAGACAAGAGAACAGGUUGUCAUCAGGGACAAUGGAUAUGGAUGGGGCUAGACAAGAGAACAGGUUGUCAUCAGGGACAAUGGAUAUGGAUGGGGCUAGACAAGAGAACAGGUUGUCAUCAGGGACAAUGGAUAUGGAUGGGGCUAGACAAGAGAACAGGUUGUCAUCAGGGACAAUGGAUAUGGAUGGGGCUAGACAAGAGAACAGGUUGUCAUCAGGGACAAUGGAUAUGGAUGGGGCUAGACAAGAGAACAGGUUGAGGCAUGUUUCCUGAAGAUUUAAAUGAAAAGUCGUCCCCCUAGCAACUACUACCCACUCGCUCUCUUGUCGACAACAAACGUCUCUUUCUACCGGUGAACUUUAGUGACACAUUUGACUUUCACGUAGCUUAAACCCAUGUCAUUAUAGAUACAAUUAUAAAAGACUCAUCUGUGCAGAAUAGAGGGAAGACGAGGUGAAAAUAA